RNAcentral lists this unclassified non-coding RNA (439 nucleotides) under Hevea brasiliensis (rubber tree). The record is from RNAcentral. Lineage: Eukaryota; Viridiplantae; Streptophyta; Magnoliopsida; Malpighiales; Euphorbiaceae.
GAAAACUUGGCUAAACCUCCUGCUAUAGGUAUAAUCGGCGCCUAAUUAAUCCUAUAAUCACAUUUGGUCAAAAUAUACCUAGCAAGAUCGGAAAAUUCUUCUUGGCUUAUAUACCCAUCUCCGUUUGCGUCUGCAUGAUGGAGUGCUCGAAAAACUCGCCAGCUCGCAAAAUGAGAACCUAGCUUGCUGAACAUAUUCUUCAGCUCUUGCUUGCUAAGGCGGCCAUCUUGGUUGAUGUCACAGCUCCUAAACAAUGCUACCAAUUGCUCUUCUGUAUAAGGAACACCCCUAACCACACCCUUUUUGUCCUGUUUAAACGCAGUCCUAGGGCAAUUUUUAUCUACUCCCCUAUGGCUUAAUGAGAAAGCCAUGUUUUUGGAGGUUGGUUUAAGAAAAUGUUAAGAGUUAAGAGAGCUUGCAGUGUUUGUACUGUGGUAUA